UACGGGGGGGGCAAGCGUUGUUCGGAAUUACUGGGCGUAAAGGGCUCGUAGGCGGCCAACUAAGUCAGACGUGAAAUCCCUCGGCUUAACCGGGGAACUGCGUCUGAUACUGGUUGGCUUGAGUGCAGGAGAGGAAUGCGGAAUUCCAGGUGUAGCGGUGAGAUGCGUAGAUAUCUGGAGGAACACCGGUGGCGAAGGCGGCAUUCUGGACUGUAACUGACACUGAGGAACGAAAGCCAGGGGAGCAAACGGG
RNAcentral lists this ribosomal RNA (253 nucleotides) under uncultured bacterium. RNAcentral describes it as "partial 16S ribosomal RNA". It matches the Rfam family "Bacterial small subunit ribosomal RNA", at positions 524 to 776 of the family's 1533-position model. The record is from RNAcentral.